Molecule: transfer RNA, 74 nt
Filed under: Actinoplanes xinjiangensis
Lineage: Bacteria; Bacillati; Actinomycetota; Actinomycetes; Micromonosporales; Micromonosporaceae
Description: tRNA-Arg
Rfam family: tRNA
About the family: Transfer RNA (tRNA) molecules are approximately 80 nucleotides in length. Their secondary structure includes four short double-helical elements and three loops (D, anti-codon, and T loops).
Source: RNAcentral
GCCCCUGUAGCUCAGUGGAGUAGAGCACCAGGUUCCGAACCUGGGGGUCGCUGGUUCGAAUCCAGUCGGGGGUA